Molecule: RNA transcript, 3918 nt
Organism: Cydia fagiglandana
Lineage: Eukaryota; Metazoa; Arthropoda; Insecta; Lepidoptera; Tortricidae
Gene name: histone lysine acetyltransferase CREBBP-like
Exons: 6
Source: RefSeq, a predicted model, not a curated record
UCAGUUUAAGGAUAAACUGGAUCCAGUUUAUUUUUAUCAUCAUUUAGGUAUAUGGUGCAUACUAUUAUUGUAAUUGAAACAAUUGAAAAACUUUAUCACAGUUCAUUUUCUGAUGAUUUACGCUUACUCGUCGGUAAUAGCCUAAUAGGUGUUAAAAUCAGCUUCAAUAGUAGCGGAUGAAAACACGUCAAAAUUUUCUGCUAUUCUGGAAUACUUUGCAAAAACGGAUAUAUCUCUACAGUUCGCGUUCAAAAGUAUUAUCAGUCUAAUAUUUUUUUUUACAUAUAUUACUUAUGUGAGUUUUAUCUCUUUUUGUUAAGUUAUUAGGGAAUAAAGUUAAAGAUACUUUUGACGCGUAGUAGUCAUUCCGCUACUUUUGAUGCUGGACGCAAAGAGCAUAUAAUCACUACGUUUUACGUAUAGCAGCAUUCUGCACACUGCACCUGGGACAAAUAAAAUCAACAAACUAUGGAUAUACCUGAUAAUGCAGACCUGGAUCCUGCAACUUUCCAAGAGGCCCGGAGGCUCAAAGUUCAGAGCUGCAUAAGCAGGAUAGCACAUGCAUCCACAUGCCGCAUCGAGGACUGCCAGGCCCCAUCCUGCGUAAAGAUGAAAAGCGUCAUUGCACACACCAAGCUCUGCAAAAGGAAGACUCAUGGUGAUUGUCCAAUCUGCAAGCAGCUUAUUGCUUUGUGCUGCUACCAUGCAAAGAACUGCAGAGACAGGCGAGAGACCUGCUCGGUACCAUUCUGCUCGCGCAUCAAACAAAAAUUGAAACAGCGUCUGCUACUGAUGCAACCUAUUACACCUGCUUUCAGAAGCCAUAGCAAUGACCUCUUGUUGAAUACUAUCUCAAACACAAACUCGACGAUGUUGAUAUUUGACCAACUGAUUGAAAAUAAGCCCUCAUUCGCAAAGAAACUAGAGAGAGAGAUAUAUGAUGGUGCAGACUCCUCAACCGAUUACUACCGCUUGAUGGCCACGAAGAAGUGGGAGAUUGAGAUGGGCAUUGAAGAUAAACUGCGCAUGGAGCAACGUGAGAUGGAAGAGAUUAUAAACUUACUUGGAAAUCGUUAAAAAGAGUAGGUAGGUACAUACAAACUAUAAAAUUAUAAUUUUACAUUGGUAACACAACACUGCUAAAUCAAACAAGUGUCUGCGCCUAUCUAGGAUUAGGUACAUAGUACCUAAUUAUUACCUAUACGAUUUGAAUCUUUACCACCAUUAACUUGGGUACCUUUAUAUGGAAGUACUAGUAAUUUACUUUUCAUUGUAAUUUUCUACACCGUGUUUUUUUUUAUUUCCGUUAAUUUCAGGGGUGCAUUCCUGAGCUUAAAUCUAGUAACUUUCUCAAAGACACCGAUAUUCUAAUUAUGUAACUCCAUUUCGGAGAUAAUCGAUAAUUUAUUUUUUUCCUUUAAGGCCUCUACAAGCGUGUACACUUGCCUUAGGGCCGGUUUAAAUAUUGAUUAGUGUUUAGAAUGAGUUCAUGCAUUUGCUACUAAACUUAAAUACAAUCUCGGUCGCUCGAUGUUCGAAAUAGAGAUGGGUAACUCAGGAGUGAUAGAUAAAAGAGCUUGUCUUUACGAAUCCGAAUGUAUCAGUAUAUCCGCACCGCUCACUCCCUCGGCAACGAUUUACUAAAGGGAAAGCGAUGUCUCGGUCGCGCGUCGACCGAAGUAACACGAACAAGCGACAGCGGUCGUUCCGGCGGAUUCGGACGCGUCAUUCGCUAUUCCGCGGGAACGAGAAGUAGAUAGUAUAGUAUUUCUCGCUCGCGCAGGAUGCAAUGCAAAUUGCAAUGAUGACUUAUUAAUUCGGUUAAGGUGGUUCUCCUUGCUCGAUUUUCAUACAACCUUUCUUGGCACCCUAGCUCCUAUUACAUAGGGUUUCUUCACUUGUAUAUGUAAUGUUUGGGUAGUAUAUAUAUUUCUGUCUUCGCUUAACGUAAAAAAAUACUAGAUUUUGAUUAAAAUUAUUAAGAAAAAAGCCUUUGAAUAUUGGUAAAAUUUUGCCUCAUUGCUUGUUUGUGUGAGUGAUGCUUAUAGUAUCGGUGUAAUUCUAACAUGGCGACUUCAUUUGACAAGCAAUCAUUUUUAAUUUGUCAAAGGUGUAACAGAUGGCACUUUAAAACCGCAACACAGAUUACCUGUGUAUCUUCUUCUUUAUAAAUAAUCGUGAGCCGCUCUGACGGUAGACCUAAAUGAAAUUAUGCUCAAUCGAAAGAGCUUGAAAAAAUAUCACUUUUGUAUCGAGAACAUGUAUCCGCAAAAUUCGUAUUGUCGAGUAUUUUGCAUUUAAAAGUGAAAAAAUUUCGACAAAGAAUGCAAAUGUUCAAUUUGUUGUUUGACAUUUGACAGCUCUAUGGUUUCGUUCAGAAAUCUUUAUAAAUAAUCGUGAGCCGCUCUGACGGUAGACCUAAAUGAAAUUAUGCUCAAUCGAAAGAGCUUGAAAAAAUAUCACUUUUGAAUCGAGAACAUGUAUCCGCAAAAUUCGUAUUGUCGAGUAUUUUGCAUUUAAAAGUGAAAAAAUUUCGACAAAGAAUGCAAAUGUUCAAUUUGUUGUUUGACAUUUGACAGCUCUAUGGUUUCGUUCAGAAAUUGUAAAUAUUUUUACGUCCGUCAUGCAUGUUGGACAGAUUGCUGGUGAGAGUGUGGGUAAGCCUAUUUAAAAAAACGACUACUGUCAGUGUAAGAUGACACUGGUGACAGAUGACACACAAACAUGUUACAUGUAUUGUGCAUUGAUUGACGGGUAAAACCAUGGUAAAACCAAAACUUUGUGCUUUACCAGUCUGAAAUUAAGUUUAAUUUUCAGUAAAGGGUCUAAAUGUUUGUGACUAACCUAAGCCCUCCUACGUGUACACGCUCGACGCAGCUAGCCAACUUUAUUGUCACGCGUGCAAUAGAGUACCUAUUAAAGGCCAAGUUCGGCCUGGCCAGCCAGGGUUCACGCUAGACAACGUCAACGAUUUAUUUGGGGUCGCCGUCAUCGAAAACGAUGAGGAGGAGGAGGACUAUACUUACUAACGAUGACACGGCACCGCCGCGUAAAACAAACCUAUGCCGAAAAUCAUAGUUUCAAGUAUUUUGAAUGCUGUAGCCAGAAGACUGCCAGACAAAUGUGGAUUAAUAAGGUUGUGGAGAUAAAAAAAAAUACAUCCACACUACAGCAUCCGAAAUCUCAAAAUCAUUUGCUUCUAUAUCGAAGAGCUCUCUGGAUUUUUUUUAAUGACUUUCCGGUCACUUAUCUUGACAUAAAUGCUGAAGGAAUUAAUUAUGUCACUUUAAAAGGAGACGAAGAGCAGGACGGUAUUAUAAAACAAAGUUAAACAUCACGGCCCGAAGACCACCCAAAUGAUGAAAAUGUAUUAACUAGGUUCAGUUCUUUUCAAAUUUGUAUUAAGGGGAGAAAAUCCAAAAUGAAAAUUCAGAUAAAAACUUUAAUGUUUUAAGAAAUUGUAAGUCAUUUCAAGUUUUAGACAUUUUGAAACAAAAAAAUGUUUUGAGAAGAAUGUGUUUGACAGAUGGUAAAGCUGCGGUUUCUUCUGGGAUGUGGGGAUGCAUAGCGAGGAAUGUGUUUGUAAGAACCAAUACAAAUUGUCCUCCAGGACUGCGCUGAGUGAGGAUAGGUAAUUGAAGUAAUUCUAAUAUUCACUCUAAAGAAACAAAUCUACCUCUCUACGCAUCCUUGCACAUCUCUGAUGGAAUCAUGGUCCUUGCUAAUCUUUGGUGGAAUACCUCAUAGCCUUACUAUACUUGGUUUUGUGAAAGGCUAACUUUAUAUGAUAUACUUAGUUUAAUUCGUUUAUUUAUAUGUAUUUAAUUGCAAAAGACUGAUUGUUGUAGUAAAUUGUACUAUUUUUAUAUAAGAUAUAUUUUUUGUAAAUUCAAGUAAAAAUAAAUAAAAAUAACGUCA